AGUGGACCGGGCAGCUGCGGGAAUCUUUGUGAUUCGUGAGGAAAGUCCGAGCUUCGCAGAGCAGGAUAACGGCUAACGGCCGCCGAGGGUGACCUUAGGGAAAGUGCAACAGAGAUAUACCGCCCGGUUUUUCCGGGUAAGGGUGGAAAGGCGAGGUAAGAGCUCACCGGCGUGCGGGGAACCGCAUUGCCCUGCAAACCCUAUCCGAAGCAACACCGACCGGGGAGGGGCGCAAGCCCCGCGCUUGCUCGGCGUAUUAUAUCCCCAACGGGUGGCUAAAGCGGUGCGGCAACGUACCGCGUAGACAGAUAGCUGCCUUCAAUGACAGAACUCGGCUUACAGGUCCGCUCGC
RNAcentral lists this RNase P RNA (352 nucleotides) under human gut metagenome. RNAcentral's name for it is "Bacterial RNase P class A". It matches the Rfam family "Bacterial RNase P class A". From Rfam's summary of the family: Ribonuclease P (RNase P) is a ubiquitous endoribonuclease, found in archaea, bacteria and eukarya as well as chloroplasts and mitochondria. Its best characterised activity is the generation of mature 5'-ends of tRNAs by cleaving the 5'-leader elements of precursor-tRNAs. The record is from RNAcentral.